This 1080-nucleotide long non-coding RNA is filed under the name Ficedula albicollis (Collared flycatcher). RNAcentral describes it as "lncRNA (ENSFALG00000025669.1)". The record is from RNAcentral. Lineage: Eukaryota; Metazoa; Chordata; Aves; Passeriformes; Muscicapidae.
GGGGGGGGGGGGGGGGGGGGGGGGGGGGGGGGCUGGAAGGUGCUGGAAGGGGCUGUGCCUCUCCUGGGUGCUGCAGCCCUGGGAUGGGGCUGUCCCUAAGGGAUCACAGGCACUGCAGUCCCUUUGCUUUGUGAAUUCCCCGAGCACACACCCCAGGUCCUUCUCCACCCCACUGUGUCCCACAGCCCCACUGCUCAUUGUUCCAUGGCAACCAGGAGCUGAACAGGCAAAAACUUCACAUUGAACGAGCACACACCCCUGGUCCUUCUCCACCCCACUGUGUCCCACAGCCCCACUGCUCAUUGUUCCAUGGCAACCAGGAGCUGAACAGGCAAAAACUUCACAUUGAACCUGUGUUUUGUCACAAAUGUAUGAAUGGGAUCUUGUGACUGUAACAUGUUUAGGUCCUGUUAGGCUUCAGUGCAGCAUGGUUACUACUUGAUUUCUGAGGGCAGUGGCAGGAGUGAAUAAGAAUGCUGUGGCCAGUAACGUUAUUGAUGUCAUUGGCAGGUGAUACAAUAAUCCAUGAUGUCAUUGGCAGGUGAUACAAUCAUCCAUGUGACAUACAGAGUUACAGCAAACAGUGUAAGGGUUCAGUAGGGUUGUCCCUGGGCUGAAAUGUGGAGGCCAAAUACAAAGGCUGGGAAAAUGUUCCUUCUGUGUAGGUGUGACACCCACAGAAGCCAAGAUAAUACCAGCAUCAAGGAAAAGCACUUGAAAUUCAGGUGGCUGAAUUGGGCCAGGAGAAAGGAAUACAACAGGGUUACCUCUGACAGCUGCCAAAAACAAGACUGAAGUGUGCUGUGCUGCCGCAGACUCAGUUUGAAAUCAAAGCAGAGGCCGCUCCUGCCACGUGCACAUCAGAGCUCCACGGAGACAGGGAGACGAGGGAGCAAAGCUGAUAUGACAAUAAAGAGUAACAUCACAUCUAACAAGCCAGUGGGAAUGGGAAGCAAGGGGAGGUAGACACUUUAAAGUGUUCUCUGCAGGUGUGAGUUAGGCAUGCUGCAUGUUUUGGCUCCUGGGGGUUGGUACUACAAACAUUUUGAAUUAUAGCCACUUUAAAGGCCGCAGGAACCU